GGAGCUUGCGGCUUAAUUUGACUCAACACGGGAAAACUCACCCGGACCGGACACUAUGAGGAUAGACAGAUUGAUAGCUCUUUCUUGAUUUGGUGAUUAGUGGUGCAUGGCCGUUCUUAGUUCGUGGUAUGAAUUGUCUGGUUAAUUCCGAUAACGAACGAGAUUCUAACCUGCUAAAUAGUCCGUGUGUAAUCCUGUGUAGUUUGGGCGGACUGAUUCGUUGGUUCGCACUGCUAUACGAGCAUACGGUACUUCUUAGAGGGAUUGGUGGAUAACAAAACCACAAUAGAGAGAGCAAUAACAGGUCUGUGAUGCCCUUAGAUGUUCGGGGCCGCACGCGUGCUACACUGACAGUGGUAGAGAGUUUGGUAUCCUCAGGCGAAAGCUGGGGGCAAACUUUUCAAUUACUGUCGUGCCUGGGAUCGGGGUUUGUAACUAUCCCCCGUGAACCAGGAAUUCCUAGUAAGCACAGCUCAUCAGGC
RNAcentral lists this ribosomal RNA (482 nucleotides) under Swingleus prolongis. RNAcentral's name for it is "bacterial SSU rRNA". It matches the Rfam family "Eukaryotic small subunit ribosomal RNA", at positions 1178 to 1636 of the family's 1831-position model. The record is from RNAcentral. Lineage: Eukaryota; Metazoa; Platyhelminthes; Monogenea; Gyrodactylidea; Gyrodactylidae.